CGGUUCUUCCGGUCGUCGUCUCGGAAACCGGUCGUGUGCUUCCGGUCGCGAUGCUAAGUGCGCUAACGCUAGCGGGCUGCUGGGAGUUUCCAGCUCAAAUGUAAGAUUGAAAUAAACAAAGAGAAACAUCGAUGUCCGUCAGUCGACGCUGUUUGGACAGAGUCCUCUCGAUCGUUCUUCUGCUGGUGGUUCUGCUCUCAUGGGGAUUUGUCAUCUACGGCACACGAAUCGCCGCACAAUGGGAGCUCGAGAAACGAGAAAA
Sinocyclocheilus anshuiensis is the source of this 262-nucleotide long non-coding RNA. RefSeq lists it as uncharacterized. Lineage: Eukaryota; Metazoa; Chordata; Actinopteri; Cypriniformes; Cyprinidae. The record is from RefSeq and is a predicted model, not a curated record. The transcript is spliced from 2 exons.